CCCUUAGAUGUUCUGGGCUGCACGCGUGUUACAAUCGGGAGUACAACAAGAUUGCAAAUCCUAGUGGAUGAGUGGUUCUUCGAAAUUUUCUGAAGACUGGGAUAGUUGAUUGAAAUUAUUCAACUCAAACGAGGGAUUCCUUGUAAUUGUAAUUCAUUAUAUUGUAAUGAAUACGUCCCUGCCCUUUGUACACACCGCCCGUCGCUCCUACCGAUUGAACGAUCCGGUGAAUUAUUUGGAGUAGCUCUGGAAGUUGCAGAACUUCCUAUGUCACGAAAUUUUGUAAACCUUAUCGUUUAGAGGAAGGAAAAGUCGUAACA
Molecule: ribosomal RNA, 320 nt
Filed under: uncultured eukaryote
Lineage: Eukaryota
Description: partial 18S ribosomal RNA
Rfam family: Eukaryotic small subunit ribosomal RNA
Source: RNAcentral